CUUCUGUGCCUGGGUCUGCCUGUCUCUCUGCUUCUGAAAAUGCUGGAGGUAGAGGACGUGCGAAUAUUCCCCCUCCUCUUCUGAGAGAGACUGAUCUGCCUGCGACUGCAUUCUUCAGAUCCAGACCAUUCCCUGACAAUAGAGCGGUUGCUGAACAGCUUGGUAGGUUUCUGGAGGAAACAUCAGCUUUAGAUCCAUUUCAGUCCGGGUUCCGUCCUGGUUUGGGGACUGAGACGGCUCUGUUUGCCCUAACAGAUGAUCUCCGUAGACAACUGGAUCGAGGCGGGUCAGAACUGCUGAUUCUCUAAGAUUUGUCAGCAGCCUUUGACGUGGUCAAUCAUGAUCUUCUGGACCACCGCCUCACCGAUGUGGGGAUACAGGGCAUAGCCCGAAAAUGGCUGUGCUCCUUUAUCUCUGGUCAGGGACAGAGGGUGUCACUAGGGAGGGAGAUGUCGUUGCGCCACUCCUUGGUGUGUGGAGUGCCACAGGGCGCAAUCCUCUUAAGGACGCUUGGACGGUCCGUGUCUCUCCGUCACUGCCCAGCACAGUUAGCGAUGGCCACCAAGGCACAAACUUCACAUGACUUCUCUUUGUGUUGAACAGAGCCAGUGCCAGUACCAUGGAUACUCUAUCGUGUAUACUCCAAUACUCGAGAAGGCUGCAAUGUGAACCUGUGGUGUCAGGUACCUCGUCAGGGAAAGUACCAUAUCUCCUGGGAAAGAGGCAAUCUUUCCAGGGCCUCAGCAGGAGGUUCAUCUAAGUACCAGCUUUUGUACAACAGCAGUGAACUCUGUGUCUCCUGGAGAAAAGGCUCCCCUGACUCCACCUUCACGUGCUUGGCUAACAAUCCUGCGGAUCAAAACGAAGCCUCAAUUGACUUGCUCAACAUCUGCACAAGCAUUGAAUGAGAGAAAGGUGUCCUAACCUUCACAUUGCUGUUAGGAUAUAGUUCCGUUCCACCUUAACAGGGAACAGGCAUGACUGUUGUGUGUCACAUGCCUGUUUACAUUCCAGCAGUCUGCUGGGAAUUUCUGUUUUGUAUAUUGCUUUUGCUUUGCUGCUGUUUUGCUGGAGAUGAAGGGAAACAGACAUGUUUUCCUUUGUUCCUGAACUAUGCUGAAUAAACGCUUGUCAAAUAAUGCUUA
Podarcis lilfordi (Lilford's wall lizard) is the source of this 1145-nucleotide non-coding RNA. Lineage: Eukaryota; Metazoa; Chordata; Lepidosauria; Squamata; Lacertidae. The record is from the annotation of a GenBank genome assembly.